AGCUGUCCGCAUUCACGGAGUUCAUUUAGUUCAAUAUCGGACACAGGAUCAGCUCGCUGGGUUAUCGAUGUCAUCAUCGUUCACAAAGGCAAACCUGUCUAUACAAAGUCCGGUUUUUGGAUU
Molecule: long non-coding RNA, 123 nt
Organism: Haliotis rufescens (red abalone)
Lineage: Eukaryota; Metazoa; Mollusca; Gastropoda; Lepetellida; Haliotidae
Exons: 2
Source: RefSeq, a predicted model, not a curated record